Long non-coding RNA from Xiphophorus hellerii (green swordtail), 1166 nucleotides. RefSeq lists it as uncharacterized. NCBI's taxonomy places the organism in Eukaryota, Metazoa, Chordata, Actinopteri, Cyprinodontiformes, Poeciliidae. The record is from RefSeq and is a predicted model, not a curated record. The transcript is spliced from 4 exons.
AAACAACUGUAGAGCUUCAUGAUAUUUAAGGGUAACUAUAUUGAUAAAGACAACAAAGAAAUAACAGAAUCAUCGUCUUCCUGCUCUGCUGCUGUCGCCUUCCAGACGUCAAAUUACUUUUACCAUUCAAGGUUUAACAUGUUCAAGUGUGAAGUAAAGAUAGAAAAUAAAGUUCAGCUUUUUACCUUCAGCUCUCAUCAAUCGGGUGAGAAAUUAUGAAGUUAAAAAUCUCUUGUAAAUAUAUUAAUCACAUAAAACAAUUUUUUUUCAGAAGUAUUGUUGACUUAUGCUCCAUUUUUAGAGAAAGACAAAACAACAACCACAUCGGCAGUUACAACUAUACCAGACAAAAGACAAGAAACUUGGGAAACCACAGUUACAACUAAACUAGAUGGAACAUCAGUCUGUAGAGAUGGAGCAGACUGGUGGAGGUUCCUCUCUGGUUCUGUGGGUUUAGCUGCUCUGAUAGCAGCUGUUCUGAUCGUCACCAUUUGGGCCAGAACUAAAGGGAGGAAAACACAUCUGGAUAAAAACACUGUGUGUUAUGAUGAAGAUGAAGCUGCUCUGAACUAUGAAAACAUCAGAACUUCUUCAGUUUGAUCCUCCUGCUUUUCUCAGACUCAGUAGAUCCAGAAGCUAAACAUCAGCAGGUUUAUCUGUUUUAAUGUUAUCUGCUGUAAUAAAAAACUGCUGAAAUGUUAAAAUAACAUCUUAAAAUAAGCAUAAGAAUUAAUUAUGUCAUCCUGAUAAGUAAAGCAGUAACUGAACAGUGUGGAGAAUUUUCCUUCUCCAUGCUGAGUUCUUGAUCUAUGAGGUUGAAGAAGAGUCAGUGAGUUGAAUUCAUGAAUUUCAUUUAUUAAUACCAAAAUGCAGCUGGUCCAUUUCUCAUGCUAUCCUUAAGGGCUAGCAGAACAAAAUGGCAUCAAACAAAGUUUGUCUUCCUCUUUGUUAGCCUCUAUCUGAACUACACCCUAAAGACGGCAUUUCCUAGUGUGUCAUUUCCUUUAAAUGUGUCAUUUCCUUUAAAUGUGUCCUUUCUUUUAAAUGACACCUUAGGGUCAUUUAAAGGAAAUGACCCUGGUCUGGAAAUAAAAUGUUAGGGCGUUUUCUAACAUGUCAUUUCCUUUAGCUUUAGCUUUGCAACUAGCUAAAAGAGAUAGAAGAAA